CAGGAGGCCCUAAGUUUCAAUCUUGCGAUCGUACUUCCCAGGGGGAAACUUAAUGCUUUCGCUCAGACACACACAGUGUAUCGCGUAUGUCGAGUAUCCAUAGUUUAGGGCGUGGACUACCAGGGUAUCUAAUCCUGUUUGAUCCCCACGCUUUCGUGCCUCAGUGUCAAUAUAUGCGUAGCCAGCUGCCUUCGCAAUUGGUGUUCUAUGUCAUCUCUAAGCAUUUCACCGCUACAUGACAUAUUCCGCUGACCUCCACAAUAUUCAAGAUUAAUAGUAUCAAUGGCAGUUUCCAAGUUAAGCUCGGAGAUUUCACCACUGACUUACCAACCCACCUACGCACCCUUUAAACCCAGUGAAUCCGGAUAACGCUUGCACCCUCCGUAUUACCGCGGCUGCUGGCACA
RNAcentral lists this ribosomal RNA (406 nucleotides) under uncultured Flavobacterium sp. RNAcentral's name for it is "partial 16S ribosomal RNA". Lineage: Bacteria; Pseudomonadati; Bacteroidota; Flavobacteriia; Flavobacteriales; Flavobacteriaceae. The record is from RNAcentral.